UACGAAGGGUGCAAACGUUGCUCGGAAUCAUUGGGCGUAAAGCGCACGUAGGCGGCCUGGUAAGUCGGAUGUGAAAUCCCUCGGCUCAACCGAGGAAGUGCAUCCGAAACUGCUGGGCUCGAGUACUGAAGAGGGUCGCAGAAUUCCCGGUGUAGAGGUGAAAUUCGUAGAUAUCGGGAGGAAUACCAGUGGCGAAGGCGGCGACCUGGGCAGAUACUGACGCUGAGGUGCGAAAGCGUGGGGAGCAGACAGG
RNAcentral lists this ribosomal RNA (253 nucleotides) under uncultured bacterium. Its description in RNAcentral is "partial 16S ribosomal RNA". It matches the Rfam family "Bacterial small subunit ribosomal RNA", at positions 524 to 776 of the family's 1533-position model. The record is from RNAcentral.